AUACCCGCUGAACUUAAGCAUAUCAAUAAGCGGAGGAAAAGAAACCAACAGGGAUUGCCUCAGUAACGGCGAGUGAAGCGGCAAAAGCUCAAAUUUGAAAUCUGGCUCUUUCAGAGUCCGAGUUGUAAUUUGUAGAGGAUGCUUCGGCUUACGUUUCGGUCUAAGUUCCUUGGAACAGGACGUCACAGAGGGUGAGAAUCCCGUUUGUGGCCGAGACUUCCGCCAUGUGAAGCUCCUUCGACGAGUCGAGUUGUUUGGGAAUGCAGCUCUAAAUGGGAGGUAAAUUUCUUCUAAAGCUAAAUACCGGCCAGAGACCGAUAGCGCACAAGUAGAGUGAUCGAAAGAUGAAAAGCACUUUGGAAAGAGAGUUAAAAAGUACGUGAAAUUGUUGAAAGGGAAGCGCUUGCGACCAGACUUGCCCGCGGAUGCUCAACCGGUCCUUCGGCCGGUGCACUCUUCCGCGGUCAGGCCAGCAUCAGUUCGAGCGGUCGGAUAAAGGCCUUGGGAAUGUGGCUCUCUUCGGGGAGUGUUAUAGCCCUUGGUGUAAUACGGCCUGCUUGGACUGAGGCCCGCGCUUCGGCUAGGAUGCUGGCGUAAUGGUCGUAAGCGGCCCGUCUUG
Molecule: ribosomal RNA, 619 nt
Filed under: Helicosporium pallidum
Lineage: Eukaryota; Fungi; Ascomycota; Dothideomycetes; Tubeufiales; Tubeufiaceae
Description: eukaryotic LSU rRNA
Rfam family: Eukaryotic large subunit ribosomal RNA
Source: RNAcentral